AGACCCGAAACCCGGUGAUCUAGCCAUGGGCAGGUUGAAGGUUGGGUAACACUAACUGGAGGACCGAACCGACUAAUGUUGAAAAAUUAGCGGAUGACCUGUGGCUGGGGGUGAAAGGCCAAUCAAACCGGGAGAUAGCUGGUUCUCCCCGAAAGCUAUUUAGGUAGCGCCUCGUGAAUUCAUCUCCGGGGGUAGAGCACUGUUUCGGCUAGGGGGCCAUCCCGGCUUACCAACCCGAUGCAAACUGCGAAUACCGGAGAAUGUUAUCACGGGAGACACACGGCGGGUGCUAACGUCCGUCGUGAAGAGGGAAACAACCCAGACCGCCAGCUAAGGUCCCAAAGUCAUGGUUAAGUGGGAAACGAUGUGGGAAGGCCCAGACAGCCAGGAUGUUGGCUUAGAAGCAGCCAUCAUUUAAAGAAAGCGUAAUAGCUCACUGGUCGAGUCGGCCUGCGCGGAAGAUGUAACGGGGCUAAACCAUGCACCGAAGCUGCGGCAGCGACGCUGAUGCGUUGUUGGGUAGGGGAGCGUUCUGUAAGCCUGCGAAGGUGACCUGUGAGGGUUGCUGGAGGUAUCAGAAGUGCGAAUG
Molecule: ribosomal RNA, 589 nt
Filed under: Salmonella enterica
Lineage: Bacteria; Pseudomonadati; Pseudomonadota; Gammaproteobacteria; Enterobacterales; Enterobacteriaceae
Also listed under: 1 other name
Description: partial 23S ribosomal RNA
Rfam family: Bacterial large subunit ribosomal RNA
Source: RNAcentral